This 134-nucleotide small RNA is filed under the name Sorex araneus (European shrew). RNAcentral's name for it is "Y RNA (ENSSARG00000019202.1)". The record is from RNAcentral. Lineage: Eukaryota; Metazoa; Chordata; Mammalia; Eulipotyphla; Soricidae.
UGCUGCUGACGGUGAUGGAGGUUCAGUGACUAUUAUAACCAUGUUACUCCAACUAGAGUAAAAUAAAAGAUGCUGUAAUAUCAGAUUUCUUUGUUCCUUCUCCACUCCCCACUGCUUCACUUGACCGGCCUUAA